GAAAACAAAAAGAAGAGAAGACGCAGGUGGAGAAACGUUGUAAUUAUAGUUUCAAGCUCUAGAACUUUGAGCACUGACUUCAGUGACCAACUGAGUGUCAUAUUUGACUUCAGUGAUUUUAGAAGUGGAGUGGAGGAAAAG
This is a non-coding RNA of Caenorhabditis elegans, 141 nucleotides long. The record is from Ensembl. Lineage: Eukaryota; Metazoa; Nematoda; Chromadorea; Rhabditida; Rhabditidae.